This 577-nucleotide long non-coding RNA is filed under the name Physcomitrium patens. RNAcentral's name for it is "long non-coding RNA (PPAT_LNC004198)". Lineage: Eukaryota; Viridiplantae; Streptophyta; Bryopsida; Funariales; Funariaceae. The record is from RNAcentral.
AUAGGAAGGAUUUCAUGAGAAAUAUCUUUAGAAGACAACAUACAACUAUUUGUGAUUUUUAUAUGAAUAAAUUUAAUUUUUUUUUACUAGAAGUAUGUUUUAUUUUUUAAUAAAUACUUUAUCUAAAAACUAAGUUGAGACCCUUAAAUUUGACAAGGAAAAGGAUUUAUGAUGUUUAGGUCCUAAAUUAAUAUCUAUUUUAAAACAAGAAGAGGAUUUUAAAGAAAGAAUAAGAUUUUUAUUAGAUAUUGUACAAGGUUCUAGUUAAACAGUAUUUAUUGUAGCUAGACAAACUUAUUUUCUAACAUAUUAUUUUUUUUGAUAGCCAUAUUCUUAAUUUUGUGGUCAUAUUUGUUUUUGGAUAAUAUUGAAUAAUAUAAUAAAAUUCUCUAUUGUAUAAGUACAAUCUUUUCUAACAAUGACAAGUCUUUUUUUGGUCAAAAAGAAAUUUGAGAUAUACUGCAUCAAUUUUCAUAUUUUCUAUUUCUAAAUAUAUAUAUUGAAAAGAUGUUGGUAUUUUCAUUGAAUUAUUAAAAUAUUGAGGCCUACUUAUUUGAAUUUUAAAUCAAUAUUCAAA